UACGUAGGGUGCGAGCGUUGUCCGGAAUUAUUGGGCGUAAAGCGCUUGUAGGCGGUCUGUCGCGUCUGCUGUGAAAAUCCGGGGCUCAACCCCGGACUUGCAGUGGGUACGGGCAGACUAGAGUGUGGUAGGGGAGACUGGAAUUCCUGGUGUAGCGGUGAAAUGCGCAGAUAUCAGGAGGAACACCAAUGGCGAAGGCAGCUCGCUGGGACGGUAUUGACGCUGAGACGCGAAAGCGUGGGGAGCAAACAGG
RNAcentral lists this ribosomal RNA (253 nucleotides) under uncultured bacterium. Its description in RNAcentral is "partial 16S ribosomal RNA". It matches the Rfam family "Bacterial small subunit ribosomal RNA", at positions 524 to 776 of the family's 1533-position model. The record is from RNAcentral.